GUUGGCCUCACUGAAAUAAAUUUCUUUCUGGUUUGGCCACCACCCAUUUCUCUGCCUUUGGAUUUUGUCAUCGGCGAAUGGCCUAACCUGAUCUGGGACCCCGGCAGCCAGGUUACCCUUGCACCCUGUGCCCUAGCUACACUUCAAGUUCAUACAAUCAUCUAAAUCUGUACUUCCAGACCCAUACUUCAGAAAACCCACUUUCUGAUUUUUUUCAAGGAGAGAGGGAUGAUGAGAAGGUUGGGACGCAGCUACAAAUCUCCUUAACCAGGAGAUUCUUGAGAGUUCAGCGAGAGUGGUUACAGCCCACUCCCAUAAGAUAUGACACAACUUUCAAAAUCCUGAAGUCCCCACACCUGCACAGCUGGGACAAGAUUGGGAUCUUCCCAUUAUCGAGGAUGACGGCAGAAUUAUUCUGAAUUGUUGAAUCCAGAUGGUCUCCAAGCGUCCAAUCCC
RNAcentral lists this long non-coding RNA (456 nucleotides) under Suricata suricatta (meerkat). Its description in RNAcentral is "lncRNA (ENSSSUG00005003554.1)". The record is from RNAcentral. Lineage: Eukaryota; Metazoa; Chordata; Mammalia; Carnivora; Herpestidae.